This is a ribosomal RNA of 1041 nucleotides. It matches the Rfam family "Bacterial small subunit ribosomal RNA", at positions 82 to 1135 of the family's 1533-position model.
GCUGGGUGGAUUAGUGGCGAACGGGUGAGUAACACGUGAGUAACCUGCCCUUAACUCUGGGAUAAGCCUGGGAAACUGGGUCUAAUACCGGAUAGGAGCGCCUACCGCAUGGUGGGUGUUGGAAAGAUUUAUCGGUUUUGGAUGGACUCGCGGCCUAUCAGCUUGUUGGUGAGGUAAUGGCUCACCAAGGCGACGACGGGUAGCCGGCCUGAGAGGGUGACCGGCCACACUGGGACUGAGACACGGCCCAGACUCCUACGGGAGGCAGCAGUGGGGAAUAUUGCACAAUGGGCGCAAGCCUGAUGCAGCGACGCCGCGUGAGGGAUGACGGCCUUCGGGUUGUAAACCUCUUUCAGUAGGGAAGAAGCGAAAGUGACGGUACCUGCAGAAGAAGCACCGGCUAACUACGUGCCAGCAGCCGCGGUAAUACGUAGGGUGCGAGCGUUAUCCGGAAUUAUUGGGCGUAAAGAGCUCGUAGGCGGUUUGUCACGUCUGUCGUGAAAGUCCGGGGCUUAACCCCGGAUCUGCGGUGGGUACGGACAGACUAGAGUGCAGUAGGGGAGACUGGAAUUCCUGGUGUAGCGGUGGAAUGCGCAGAUAUCAGGAGGAACACCGAUGGCGAAGGCAGGUCUCUGGGCUGUAACUGACGCUGAGGAGCGAAAGCAUGGGGAGCGAACAGGAUUAGAUACCCUGGUAGUCCAUGCCGUAAACGUUGGGCACUAGGUGUGGGGACCAUUCCACGGUUUCCGCGCCGCAGCUAACGCAUUAAGUGCCCCGCCUGGGGAGUACGGCCGCAAGGCUAAAACUCAAAGGAAUUGACGGGGGCCCGCACAAGCGGCGGAGCAUGCGGAUUAAUUCGAUGCAACGCGAAGAACCUUACCAAGGCUUGACAUGUUCUCGAUCGCCGUAGAGAUACGGUUUCCCCUUUGGGGCGGGUUCACAGGUGGUGCAUGGUUGUCGUCAGCUCGUGUCGUGAGAUGUUGGGUUAAGUCCCGCAACGAGCGCAACCCUCGUUCCAUGUUGCCAGCACGUCCUGGUGGG